UUUAAUAAUAAUUAAGUUGAAAUUAUCUUUAACCCGUUAUGUACUCAGGUCUAGAAGCAUUAGUGUGACUAUUUUAAAGUCAGAUGUGUAUAAUUGUGUAUAAUAUGUAUGUGGAUACACUCACAAACAGAAAAUCUACCAAAAAUAUCUAUGAAUAUCGAUACAUAAGAUGUAUAAUACUACUGUUUUAACCCCCCACCUCAAUCAAGCAACAUUUAAAAAGUAAAAUAGUGAAAUGUUAGCUCUAUUUGCUGAAGUUUAGGCAUGUUGAGAUAACUUCAACAUUAACACAAGCAAAUAUUUGGUUAAUUAUGAACUGCUCAACCUGGAGCAUGUCUGCAAACUCAUAAUAAAGGGGGGGGACGCCUAAUUUGCAUAAUCAUAUUGGACAGCUGCCUUGCGCAUGUGCGAUUCACUUUCAGUCUAGACCCGUUUCACUUCUCUGCUAUGACUGCAGCUGGGUCACUGCGCGAGCCGCGAGGCUGAAGCCUAGUUUAUGAUUCUGCGUUUUCAGAGCGAUGCAAGGAAACACAGACGCAAGAGCCCCUUGCGUGUCCCUUGCGUGCCUUUUCACACCUCCUUGUGUGCGUCGACCCAUUUUUCUAGGCUUGCGUCAACGCAAGCCUCCUGCAGCGCACGAGGCUGCGAUUGGUCUGCUAACUACAUCCUUUACGGAGUCUCACAUUUCCGCUUUCAUAGCACAAUACCGCCAUUAUUAAAACGAGGAAUGUUUAUGAGAGAACGGAUCAGAUUGAAGAGCUUUUGUCGAAAGAAAUGCGUAAAUAUGACAACUUAUACAGCCCGUCAUUGGCGGACUUUAGGGACGCGCGGAUGGCCUCCCGAUUCCCGACACGUUUGUCCCAUAUCUUCCUCAACAACUUUGUGCACCCCUCUACCAGCAAACCGACGUUUGCAGAGAUCUCCCUCCAUGAAUCGGAGGCCAUCCGCGCGUCCUUAUAGUCCGCCAAUAAUGGGUUGUAGAAGUGGUCAUAUUUACGGACAAAAGCUCUUCAAUCUGCUUCAUUCUCUAGUAAACAUUCUUUGUUUUAAUAAUGGUGGUAUUGUGCUAUGAAAACGGAAAUGUGAGACUCCGUAAAGGAUGUAGUUAGCAGACCAAUCGCAGCCUUGCGGGCUGCAAGAGGCUUGCGUAGCUUUUGAUGCAAGCCUAGAAAAAAGUUCGUCCGCUUAAGCAAACACCCUUGUUUUCUUCCCGCGGUUGGGAGCGUACUCUUGUGUGCGUGCGUGUGUCUGUUUGAGGAAGGAAGGUCUCUAGGAAGAAGGGAGAUGGCGGGAGAGCAUGAUAAAAAGCGAAGGAUGGAGCAAAAUUAGGAGGCUAAGGGAAAGGAAAAGGAGGAAAUCUAGGCCUCCCUUUUUUCUAUCUACCAACUGAACCUCCCUUUCCAUUUCCCAUUUCAAUUUACCUCUUGCCUUUUAUCCAAUUGGCCACCAUGCUGACACUUCUCAUCUCAGUUCCGUGACCGGAGAAUAAGGGGAACAAAAUGUUGUUGCUCCAUAUACAAGCAAAUGUUAUGCUAAAGUGAUGGGUUCUCAUCAUGCCCUAACCUACAAUGAUGCUGGGAAACGGCGGAAGAGGAAGAGCAUGCCCCAUCUCCGUCCCGCCCUCCCCUAAUUUGCAUUGCAUGCUGAAAUGCAUGUACUGGGCCCAUUAACCAAGGGGCCGUGCUGUGUUUUGGUUGUAGACGAGGGCAGGGGGGCUGUCAUAUCUUUUGAUUUGCUUGAUAUGAAAACAGUGGUGGUUUCCAAUCAAUGGAACCUGUGGUUUAUUUGGGGUGAAAUGAGAUUUUUUUUAUUGGUAUGUUUGCAUCUUGAGGCAAUUUUCCAGCUCUAUUGUGGAAGACCCGGAAGCAUCCUCGCUUGAUUUUACAGUAAAUUUGUUAUGGGGCCAAUACGAGAGUUGAAAGUGAAUAUGGUUAUUUAUUUACAUGCAUAAACAAGCACACUUUGUUAGACACAUCUGAUGAUUGUUGUAACGGAGAUCCCGGCUGGCUAUAUAUGCUGGAGCCUUAUGUGAAGGAAGCUUAUCAGAAUGAUUAGGCGGAAGGAUGGGUGGCCUACCAGCGGCUUUACAAGUCACUGCAAUGGCAAAUAUAAUUUUGGAAUUAGAUGACACUCUGAGAAUGGUCUCAGAGUGUCAUCACAGUUUAAAUUAAAACGUCUUCCGGCCGAGCUUCCCCUAUAGAAGGCCAAACAGAGCCAGAAAAAAACAGCGAAAAACUAAUUUCUAACAAGAAUAUUGUGUACUCAUCACAAUCAAAUAUAUGAAUACUUCAGUGUUUAAAACUUUAGAGUCUUUGAAAAGACUCUAAACAAAACUCAAGUCAUAAAAUAUGAUUUUCAGAUUAGUCCAGAAAUGUGCACUUGGCAAUGCAUUUGUAACAUUUACACAGCAAAGCAAGAAUACCAAACCACUUUCUCUCAGACCAACCUUGCCAAAACCAAACAAAAAUAGUCACCAAGCAUCCUGCAUAUGAAUCAUAAAUGCUAUUAGCCAGUGUGAAAUUCAAUCAUUCACAUCAAUAGAAUUAUUAAUAAUCGCUAAGAUAAUUCACAAAAAAAUUUAAAUAACGGGGCACCACCCUGAAAAGGGACUAAUAACCAAACUAUAAAUAAAGUCUCAUAAUUGGUAUUUACUCAUUAAGAGCAAGAAAUUGAAGGUUUGAGUUUGUGCGUGUCACGGUUUUGGGUUAAAUGGUAAAUGGACUGUACUUGUAUAGCACUUUUCUAGUCUUCCGACCACUCAAAGCGCUUUAACACUACAUGACAUCAUUCAUACACAGUACACAGUGACACCUGCCCAUCAGUAACUAACAUUCAUACGCUGUAGUCGCAGCUACAGGAGCAAUGUUGGGUUAAGUGUCUUGCCCAAGGACACAUCGAAAUGGGGGGUUAGCCAGGACUGGGAUUAAACCCACAACCCUCUGAUUGGAGGACGACCGUGCUCCCCACUCACCCACAGUCGCCCGUCAAUGUCUGAUUUUAUUUUGUAGUUUCUUGCCUCUGUCCUCCCUGGGUCAUGUCACUUGUCCUGUCCUCCUCUGUGAUUGUCUGUCAUGUCAUGAUUGUUUCCACCUGUGUCCAAUCACCUGCACCUCCCUAGUGUAUUUAAGCCAUGUGUGUCUGUUGUCACUUGUCGCGUCAUUGUCUUUUGUCACGCAUGUCCCUGUCAAUCGUCUGGUCUGCCGCUCGUUCCUGCCUGCCUUUUUGCCCUUAGUUCCUGUGUGUUUUUGCCCGUUGGCCUUUUGCUUUUUGCCUGUUUUCACUCUUAAAGUCCUUUUUGUUUUCGAACUCUGUGUUUGAGUCCAGCCUUCCCACGCACCCCUGACAGAAUGACGUGACCAGUAAAGGACUCGGCAAAGUUUUUUCCCCGGGAAGAGUUCAGGGGAACCCGUCUGGCUAUGAGCGGUCCACACAAUCCUCGGCUGGCCAUCCGUAAUGGGGGAGAGGUCCUCCCCGGGAUUUCAUAUGAAUACAUGUACUACUCUGUCCCCUUCCGGAGCCCUUAGUAGGCAUCUGGGUCGCCCCUCUCACCAUCCGCCGCCCACCACGUGGUCUUCAGAGGCCAUUUCGUGGUCGUCUGGCGGCGAUACUCACUGGGAGCGGGUGAUGGACCUUGCGGUCCAACUCCAGGCCACCUACGCUCUCCACGCUCGGUCGCAGCGCAGAAUGUCCAGCGCUGGGCCGCAGCGACAUCCCGACCCUGCUGGGUCGCAGCGCACAACGUCCAGCGCUGGGCCGCAGCGACAUCCCGACCCUGCUGGGUCGCAGCGCACAACGUCCAGCACUGGGCCGCAGCAGCUUCCCGUCCCGACCCAAGCCCACGACCCCCGAGCCAGCGCCACGAUCAAUGCCCCCGGUACCGGCGCCACGAUCCAUGCCCCAGACCCCGGUACCGGCCCCACGAUCCAUGCCCCAGACCCCGGUACCGGCCCCACGAUCCAUGCCCCAGACCCCGGUACCGGCCCCACGAUCCAUGCCCCAGAUCCCGGUACCGGCCCCACGAUCCAUGCCCCAGAUCCCGGUACCGGCCCCACAAUCCAUGCCCGCGACCCGGCCUGUACCGGCCCCACGAUCCAUGCCCCCGGCCCCACGAUCCAUGCCCGCGACCCGGCCUGUACCGGCCCCACGAUCCAUGCCCCCGACCCGACCAGUACCGGCCUCACGUACCAUGCCCCCGACCCGACCAGUACCGGCCUCACGUACCAUGCCCCCAACCCGACCAGUACCGGCACACGUUCCAAGCCCCCGACCCCGGUCCGGCCCCACGACUCAUGGCCCCGACUCGGCCUGUACCGGCCCCGAGACUCGCCCCCGGACUCAGGCUCCCUCCCUCCCAUCCCGUGGUCCUCUCCCACCCUCCCUUUGGUGGCUUGGGGGCCGUCUGGGAUCCGGCCCUUGAGGGGGGGGCUAUGGCGGGGGCUCCGGAGGUGUUCCGUGUCCCCCAGCCGGAGGUUUCCAGUGUUUCCCAGGCGGCCAUCCCAGAGACGUUCAGUGCCCUGCAGUCGGCGCUCCGGAGCCGGCCAACUGACAGUCUGCCGGGCCGACCCCCUGAGGCUCCCCGGCCGUUUGCCUGUCCGCCGGGCCGACCCCCGGAGGCUCCCCGGCCGUUUGACUGCCUGCCGGGCCGCCCGCCAGAGUUCCCCCGGACGGCCUACCAUUGUCUGGUUUCCCUCCCUCCCGCCCCUUGUCUGUUCCUGGUCAGAUUAGGGCCAUCUGGAAUUUGGCCCUUGAGGGGGGAGUUCUGUCACGGUUUGGGGUUAAUGUCUGGUUUUAUUUUGUAGUUUCUUGCCUCUGUUCUCCCUGGGUCAUGUCACUUCAUGUCCUGUCCUCCUGUGAUUGUCAUGAUAAUUUCCACCUGUGUCCAAUCACCUGCACCUCCCUAGUGUAUUUAAGCCAUGUGUGUCUGUUUUGACUAUUAAAGUCCUUUUUGUUUUCGAACUCUGCGUCCUGCCUUUCCACGCAUCCCUGACAGUACGGUCUGUUUCCUUCCAGCAUUACAGUACACAUAAGAAAUCACAGAAAACUGCUGCUUAAAGUAUAACAGGGUUUAUUAUCUUCCAAUAACAAUAUAUAAGAACAUUCAUUCAUGCAUGUGUAGUGGAGGUGUGUGAGUUAAGGAGGGGAGAGCUCAGGAAGGGAGCUUGCUGCACGCUAAACUACCGACCCCAUGGCCAAUGUGUUGCUAGCAGGCUGUGUUUAUACACCACGUGUGUUCCUUACAUUUAAACCUCUGUCUGUAGGUAAAUCUAUGUGUGGAGGGACAGGUGUGUGUGUGUGUGUGUGUGUGUGUGUGUGUUAGUAAGUUAGAAAUCAAAGAAAGCAGAUCUCAUUCAGAACAGUGAGGCACGAUAGUGGUUAACUUUAUCACGUCACACAGUUCAAAAACAUACAAUCUCUUGUUAAACAAUACAUUAAAUACCAAAACAAAAAUAACGACACAUGCUAAUCUAACUUCUGCCCAGACUUCGCCUUACUGUGUGUUGAUGGGGUUGUCUGUUUCCUCGAGUUUCAUUUAACUGUGUCCAACCAGUCCAUCCCUUUUUUGCAGGGAUCGAUUUGGGAUUAUGAGGACUGUUGGGUUUCUUGGUGGCACAAAAGCUAUUGGUGCUCUUGUGUGCUCUUAACACACGUUGUAUCCAAGGGGGUAGUUUUCCUUCUUGGUGAGCUGCUUGGGCCAGAAGUGGGUACUGGAAAGCCGGACUUCUCUGGAGCAGCUAGAAAAUGGUUGGAGAGGCCCGAAUCCUUAAUCCUGAGGCCAGUCUGGAAAGUUGAUUUGAAAAGGCUGUCUUCAACCUCUCAUCGACACAGGUCGAUUCGGAAAAAUGUAUCAGUCCGGAAAGGGAUUUGAAGAGACUCUGUUGCCUCAUCCUUACACUGACCAGAGUCAGUUCGGAAAGGGAUUUGAGAGAUACUGUCUUUAACCUCACACCGACCUGAGGUUAGCUCAGAAUGAAAGUUUCGACGAGGGACCUCACAGAACACACCAGGGGGACCCCUGUGGUGUCUGUGGCUUGGCCAAUCCACCCAGAGAGAGAAAUCACACCUGGGUGUGAAGGCACAUUCCUUUCUGGGGUUUUAUGUCCUGCAGCAGAACACUGCAUUCAAAAGUCGGCCUUACUUUUACGCAAUGGUGGGAGCCCAACGUCAGACACUCUCACACAUUAAUUAAUGAAACAUUCUUACGUUCACUAUUGAAAUCUCUCACUCACUCACUCACACACUCACACAUACAUACAUACAUACUCUGUAAAACUAUGCACAGACAUUUAUAAAACAUUUUACAUACUAGUCUGAAAUACAUACUCGCUGGGGCAGCUGGUGGAUAUUUUUUUUGGUAGGGCCAGCCAAUCAGGUCAGUAAACAUCCCAGUAUUAUUCAAUGCAAAAAAGGCUAUUAGACAUGCAUUAUUACUUUGCAGUUAAAUACAUAACAUUUAUUCCAACAUCAGGACAUCUUAUUCAAAGAAUUUAGUAUAUUAAUAGAUGAUAUAUUCAGAAUAUGAUAUAACUUCCAUAUCGUAACUAUUAUAAUAAAGGAUAAAUAAAUUACAAUGAAAUAUAUUUAUAAAUAUAUAAAAUGUGUAUAUAUAACGUUAUAUAUAUUGAGAUGCAGCUUUGAUGUUGAGGAAAGAACAAAAGCCACACAAAACUUCGCACAAUAAAUCAUUUUGGAUAAGAUGUGCCUGUUUUCAUCCACGUCCUGGUUGUAUGUCCUCACCGCAGUCCCGUAUAUUGCAUAUUUAUUUAUAAUAUGGGUAGAUGAAAUCAAGCGUUCUGAUUCAUUGAGAGCGAGUCACGGGGUUUACUGAAUUGAGCCAUAAUGUACCUGUUUACAUUCUGAGUGUUCCAUAUCAGUGCGCAAUCAAAAUAACAGUUAGAUUUUGCGCAGCCGUUGCACGAUGCGUAAAACACAUGAACCAGACUAUGGGAUAGAGGUGUGUACAGACAUUACAUUGGCGACAUACAGAGGCAUUAAUUGUACAUGCUUAAAUUGAGCAGCUCAACCGGGUUUAUGAGGGAUUGCACAAUCCGAGAGGAGGCGCAGCUCGCCGCCCGCGUCUCCCCGUAUUUGAAGAGGUGAAUACACAGAAUAAUGUAUGUAUAUAUAUAUUAUUUUUAUUUGGCUGACACCUAUUAAAACCAGCAUACAAGCAAACACACAUAUAUAUAUACAAUUGUGAUAUCAUUAUAUGUAGUGUUUUUUUUUGUUAAUAUAGAAUAUAUAUAUAUUAUAUAUAUAAUAUAUAAUAAAUAAUAAUCUCAAUUUUAAACGGCAGUUUACAAAAGAUCAAUUUACCUCUUUGAGUAAGGUCUUUCUUUUGUUGUCUCUUUGGGCUUUUGUCUUGUUAUUUUGAGUCCACGACCCAUUAUAGGACAACAAUUUAGAUGAAACUGGGACUUUGGUCUAGUUAUUUUCGAUAAACAGAGUCCCAGAUCCAUUACAGGACAACAAUUUUGAUGAAACUGGGACUAAAAUUCUGCAGCAUCUCAAAUUUACAAAUGAUGGUUGGGAAUUUGAAUGCACGACGCAUGCUUAUACAAGGUAAAGGCUGGUGCAUACUUCUGAGUCUUUCAUGUGAAGGAAAGCGGAGGAGGGAGGAUGGGGAGGUUAAAGUGUAAUGGGAGGGGGACCUAAAUGGAGAUGGAGGGUGUAAUAAGGGGCCUUAAGGCUGGCGCGUGCUUCGGCGUCUGCGUCGUUGCGUCGAUGCACUCGUUUCAAUUCAUGGUUCUAAAAGGUGUGUGUUGCAGAGCAAUUCACUGCCAGAACAAUAUGUGGAGUAACGUUUUUUGUUGAAGAUGACCUACAGAGUUACGUCUUUGGUGUGGAAGUCGUUGGUUUGUUUAUUUAUUUAUCAUAGACUUUAUUGCCCCGUGCAUCGCCACUGUUGCUUUUCAUCGCAGACACAUUUGUCCCAUAUUUUCCUCCACAACUUUGUGAACCUCUCGACCGCCAAACCGACGUUUCCGGAGAUCUCCCUCCAUGAAUCAGAGGCCAUCCACGCGUCCUUUUAGUCCGCCAAUGACGGGUUGUAUAAGUUGUCAUAUUUACGCAUUUCUUCUGACAAAAGCUCUCAAUCUGAUCCCUUCUCUCGUAAACAGUCUUCUUUUAAUAAUGGCAGUAUUGUGCUAUGAAAACAGUAAUGUGAGACUCCGUAAAGGAUGUAGUUAGCAGAUCAAUCAGAGCCAUGCGGGCUGCAGGAGGCUUGCUUUCGACGCACGCAAGCACUUAAGGAGGUGUGAAAAGGCACGCAAGGGGCUCUUGCGUCUGCGUGUCCUUGCAUCUCUCUGAAAACGCAGAAGGAUAAACUAGGCUUGAGGGACAGUAGUCAUUAUUUGUUUGGGUAUUUACUUGUGCCAGUAUUGCAAUUAAGAGUAAAGGGGAUUGGUUCUUUAAACUUUUGCGGGGACUUUUAAGUGGUCUGUAUGCACAGGUCAGAUGGAAAAUAUUUUGAAAAUGAAAGUUUCGUUAUUGGAUUUGUUUACAGUCAAGCAGUGCCUUUUAGCGGUGCUGAUAUUGAUCUAUGGUGAUACCUUUCUUUCGCAGACGCCGCAUGGUGGGUUUAAUUGUGUACUUGAGUACCGCCAGGGCUGUAGUGGAGGGUAAACGCACGUAAACGCCGUUUACGCACCUCUAGAAUUUUGGAAAUAGCGUUUACGCCCCUAUAAAUAGCGUUUACGCACCUCAAAGUUCCCUUCUUCCGUUGGAAUAAUCCGAAAUAAACUUGGUGUAAUUUUAAAACAGCCAAGACUACGUUUCCUAUUGUUGAACAUAUAAACGGCGUAGUCUGAAUCAUUUUCAUCUGCGCUGUAUUACGGUCUGUGAGCAUCCAAUCAGUGCCUUGCGGCUGCAGCAGCGACACCGAUCAGGAUCCAGGAGGUGUGUAAACACAUACACGUUGUGGAUCAGCCCAGUGGUCCCCAACCUUUUUUACCUCACGGACCGGUUUCAUGUCAGACAAUAUUUCGCGGACCGGUCGAGAAGGUCCGACGGGGGGGGUGUAGUAGUCGUUGCGGGCGGAACGACCGACGGGGGGGGUAGUAGUCGCGCGAUCUGUGUUCGCUGGUCGUGCACGGUAAAAGGACAAGAAAAACGCCUGGUGACGCGUAGAUUAGAGAACAAGUCGGUUCUCAAUGUGAAAAAAAACAUGCUGUAUAGGCUAUUUAUGAUGACAUAGGUAGUACAUGAGUGUUCCUUUAACUUAUGUUGUCAGUGUAAUUGACAGGCUGCUUAACUGGUUAACUCUUAAAUUCAACAUAUUUUUUCAGGCAGUGAUAGGACAGGCAGUGAUGCAGAGAGCACAGGGAGAGGAGAAACACCAGGUUGAAUAGAGAGAGGAGAACGGCUGAUGAGAGAACGAAAUCAUGACAGUGGAGAACCAAAGAGUGGAGAAGAGGAAAGGGGAGGGAAUGAAAGAAGACCAACAGAGAAUGAAGAAACAGAGAAAGGGGAGACCGAGAAAGAUGAAAUAGAGGGAGGAGAUGAAGAAACAAGUAGUAAGAGAGGAGUAAGAGAAGAAAGAGGGGCAGGAGAGAUGGAGUGUGGAAAAUCUGAAUUAGAAUCUGAAGUAGAGGGAGAUACAGAGGAAGAAGAAUCUGAGACUGAAGACACAGUGAGAGGAGAAACAGAGAGCAGAUGCCACCCACAUAUCUGGACAGAAAACAUAUUGCAAAAUAGCCAGGACAGCCUUACAGAGUCGCGGCGCUUUGUGUUGCGUUGCUUCGCAUCGCGUCGAGGUCUGUAUGAUCACAAAAUUCAAAGUUUACCCACCUCUAAUUUUACCACUACAGCACUGAUUGUUAGAAUAUUUUGUCAAUGAAUGGGGGUAUUUUAGACACUUAUUUAAUUGUUCAUUUUAUGUUAAACACAAAACUAUACACAUUUGAUCAUCUAAGACAGACUGUCUUCAACAGGGGGUCUGCGAAGGUACUGCAGGGGGGUCGCGAAAUUUUUGGUUGAUAAGACCAUUUUUUUAAACUAUUUUUUCCCCCACAAAUGUAAAUGUCUUCAGAAUCAGAAUUUUAUUUAUGGUCUUUAAAUACACAUUAACAUGAAUCCAACAUAUUGAAGCGAACGGAUAAAUUGAUGGAGAAGACUUUAUCUGUCAGUGCGCAACACACACAUUCAGCUUCCCUCAGCAGCUCUCAAGCUGGGCACCGGUUCACUCACAGCUCCUUUCAUGCGAAUACGACAGCGCAGGCACCAGCCAAUCAGAUCGCGUUUAUGCUCACGUCUAAAAAGCGUGAAGAUCAAAAAUAAAAGAUGGUGGACCAAACUCCGUAGAAUAGGGGGUCCCUGCUCCACCUCGCCAUCAGUUUGGGGGACCAUGGCUUGAAAAACGUUGAAGACCAUUCCACGGAGUGGAACAUGUUGAACUAGCGACCCUUCCUGCUUCCCUCGUGCACUUGUGUUUGAAGUGCCAACAAUCUCCCCACAUUUAGCCAGGAUGUUUACAAAACACUGUCUUUUAGGAACACAGUGGUUGUCCUCUGCAGCCUCUGUGCCCACAGGGUAACGUUAGAUGUUGAGAUGGAAGUAGCCUAGCAGCUAGUUAAGUUAUCCGUUUGCCACUCACCCCCCUUCGGUUAGACCUGUGGAAUUCCUUCGCACAAGAAUUCCUUCCCACAGUUCUCUACUGUAUGCCGCUGUUUUACUUCAAAUUAAAUGCAAAAAGCUCUCUUGCUACCGUCUUGCUUGUUUAUUUUCCGCAACCAACUUCCGACUAGACCGGAAGUAAUCAAAGUUACGUUAACUACUUUCAAUUAUUUUAUCUUGCAUUAAUCUUGGCCACAUUAAUCGCAUAGAUUAACAGGUUUAUGUUGACAGCAUCAUGCCCAGUCCUUUUAUGUAGUUUGUCUGUGACUCACCUGUUCUCUUGUGUCAGGCACCUCUCCCCACUGUGUGAUAACUGAUUGUUUCCACCAGUGUCUCGUUGUUUGCCCUCCCUUGUGUAUUUAGUCUGUGUCAAUCCUUGUUCUGUGCCAGUUUGUCUCAGUCUGUACCAGUGAGCUUACCAACAAUUUCCUAGUGUGUCGUCGCCGUGCAAUUUGGAUACCGUUGCCUGUCUGAUUACCCGAGUACCGGGAAAAUAAUGUGACCGGAUGAGUGUUUUCCCCUCCCUCUUACCUGCACACAGGGGUGUGGACCAGCAUACCUGGGGCUAAUUCCGAUUGAUUGGGAGAGGCGGGGCCAUUACAUAAGCCUGUGGUGUGUGGACUCGCUUUGUUGUCUUCUCCUGCUGGGUGUCUAUGGAGACGUGUCCGGGAGGCGUGCUUCAUGUUUUGGCCGCUGCCCUAGGUCAUCAUUCUGCUGCGGUGUGGUAAGGGCACUUUCCCCAUCUUUUGUGCCUUUUUAUUGUCCUGUGUCGCCGUGUAUGCGGCACCAAUGUGCAUUCUUUCAUAUAGCGACCCUGUCUUGGUCAUGGAUGUCCCCGUGUGGGUGGAUGUAUGCCUGGACUGCUGGUGUUUGGUGUCUCAGUACGAUGCAUGCUUCUCUCUUUCGACACAUUUGGGCGUUAUUAAAAUCUGACAGUCUUAAUUGUUAUAGUGUGGGCCGCUGUCUGUGUGUGCGAGGUGGGUGCCACUGCCGGGGUCCGUGGGCGGCCUGUACUGUAAUUCGGUAAGUCGCUGUGUUUGCCUGUUUGCUGUACAUUCAUUGCGGUCGUGUUCUAACGGUGUGUUUUAAAACACAGCUGGACCGGGCUGCAGCCUUGGACAUGCUAUUGUGGGGCUAUCCUGGUGCCACGACUAAUUAAAGGGCCAAUAUUCCCCAGAGCGUUCUCCCUCCCCCACUGAACCUGUUCUUGAUACCGGCUGAAACCCAUCUGGUAAAACUUCUGACUACACAAGCAAUCUGGAAACUGGUACAAAAAUGUCUCUCUAUAGUGUAUUAACUGUUGUGUAUGUGUAUAUAUUGCAUGUAGGUCUUUUCCUUUUUUUUAUUUUGUUUGCAUCUUCCUUUUUAUGCAUGCCGGUUUAUUGAUUUGAAUUGUUUUGUUUAUUUUCUUAUCACUGAUCUACUCCUUAACAAAUAACAUAUUGUCAUUUUAAAAUGAAUAUUUAACUAAAUAAAACCGUAUAUUUUUAUAAUUCCCUUAUGGUCUCUGACCCCUGAUUUUGGUGAACGGCUCUGUGUGCCUUAACGUGAAUGGUCUUGGGCCUAUCCCAAGUGGCGUUGUUGGACAUUGUUAUUUUCCUUGAGUGUCAUAGGCCACUCGUAUUGCCACAAUAAGUAAGAAAAUAAAUGUAGUUUGACUACACUGUAACCACAUCCAUCUUUAGAGCGAUCUCUAGCUUUCCGCAUCUGGUGACCACUUCUUCCAUUCUGCUCAGUCCUGUGUAUGCGGAAUCUGAAUAACACUUCAUUGCCUUGUAAAAAAGAUCUUUCCACUGUUAAUGUGGGAUCCACGCUCAGAACAAUCACAUAUGGCCUCAGUUGUCUCCAAGUUGACAUCUCCUUGUGCCGCUUGUAUAGCACUAUUCUCUUUGACAGUUCGAUCGUCUUAAUCUUCCAUAAAAAUGUUACCCCAAAUUACACUACCAGGCAAUAGCCAUAGUCAUAUGGGCAACAUGCAAGCGGAUGUAAAGGACUUUGCUUCUGUUGAUUAAACUGAAAAGUCCAUUCCAAAGAGUGACUGGCAGGAUAUAACAGUGUGGUUAACACACACCAGAGGACCAUAUUGAGUGUGUGUAUAUUGAAUGAAAAGGUACAGUCUGCAGUUAACUGUAUAAUACAUAUAUUUUUGACCAUGCAUUUACAGGGACUUAUGGAAAGACAAUCCCUUUAUAUGUAUUAGAUCCCUAUAAAAACAGAACAAAUUUGCUUUUCUAAUGCUGUUGCCACAUAAAAUGUCAUCUAUUCCCAGUUUGAUUUAAAUCUUUAUUUUGUGUGCCUGGUGAAAACAAAGCAUCAAAUUGUGUGUGUAAUAUAUAGCCACGUUCAUACAUUAACAUUAGGACAUACAGCUGGAUUAAAGUCACUAAAACCCAUAUAUACAUAAAGUGUAUGUCUCUAGGGCAGUGGUUCUUAACCUGGGUUCGAUCGAACCCCAGGGGUUCGGUGAGUCAGUCUCAGGGGUUCGGCGGAGGUCAAGACACACACCCGACUCAUAUGAUUCGUGAUUACACGCCCCGCUUGGCCAUCAUUGGCUGCAGGAGAUCACGCAACAUCGCUUGGCCUAUCUGUGCUGCAGGGAAUUUGGCACGCUCAGUAGUCAAAUUGUGACUGUCGUGAUGGUACGUCGUGUGAUUUCUUUCUUAAUAUUUUAAUCCCUUCAUACUAACUAUGACGAGCAAAAAAAGAAAGUGGUCGGACGAAUAUGUACAAUAUGGAUUCACAUGUAUAACUGAACAUGAUGGGAGUCGGCGUCCUAACUGCAUGAUUUGCAAUGCCAAGUUGAGCAAUUCUAGUCUAGCACCGGCAAAACUAAGAACACUUCCUUAAGCUGCAUGGAGAUGGACAAUACAAGAACACAACGCUCGCUGAAUUCAAGGUGAAGAGAGCCAGAUUCGAUGAAAAGGCUACUCUGCCUGUUCUCGGCUUUGUACCCAUCAACAAACCGAUCCUCACAGCAUCGUACAAAGUUGCUUACCUGAUCGCAAAGCAGGGCAAACCACACACCAUUGGUGAAACACUCAUAAAACCAGCUGUGUUGAAGAUGGCGAAUAUCAUGCUGGGAAAAGCGGCUGAAGUUCAGUUAUCCCAAAUUCCUCUUUCAAAUGACACCAUUAGUGACAGAAUAGAGGACAUGAGCAAAGACAUCUUGGCUCAAGUAGUUGCAGAUCUGAUUUCAAGCCUGGCAAAAUUCAGCCUUCAACUGGACGAGACCACAGACGUUUCCAAUCUAAGCAAGCUUGCUGUAUUUGUGCGCUAUGUGAAAGACAACGUGAUAAAGGAAGAUUUUUUAUUUUGUAAGCCUCUUACGACAACAACUAAGGCAGCCGAUGUGAAGAAACUUGUGGAUGACUUCAAAGACAACAAUCUUUUGUGGGAUAUGGUUUCUGUAGUUUGUUCGGAUGGAGCUCCAGUCAUGCUGGGAAGAAAGUCUGGUUUUGGUGCGCUAGUGAAAGCCGAUGCACCACACAUCAUUGUUACUCAUUGUAUUCUUCACAGGCAUGCGUUGGCAACAAAAACCUUGCCUCCAAAACUGGCAGAAGUAUUAAAAAUUGUUUUAAUGGUUUUGUUCUUUGAACACUGAUGUUGAUGCACGGUUCAUUUUGUGCACCAGUAAAAUAUAUACCUAUGUUUUGAAUUGUAUUUUUCCAAUUAAAAAGGGUUCGGUGAAUGCGCAUAUGAAACUGGUGGGGGUCAGUACCUCCAACAAGGUUAAGAACCACUGCUCUAGGGUCUUAAAUUUGGCAUCGUAGCAGAGUCCAGCACUUUGUCUCCUUCCAUCUCUCUGUCUGCAAAGUGUCCUCCAUCUAUUUAUUUUCUUCGUUGUGCGGUCAUCUCUCACUCUGUUCAUCUCACCUUCGGCCCCGCUCUGUCGCUCUGUUCUUGCUGCUCUGUUCUUGCUUUCUUUGUACCGCAUGGUGAGCACUGACAGCUCUGGCAGAGACAAACUGCUGAUGCUGAGCUUAAAAGUGACCGCCCCUGUGCUGGAGCCACACAGCUGGGUAGCCAGAGAUCCAUCACCACAUGGCAUAGCCAGUACAGCACAUAAAAAUUCUAUUGGCCACCAUAAGACUGGACCAUUAAUUAUCAGUAAAGAUAUUGAUAUACUAUUAUUUAUUGAUAGGCUCUAAUGUUUUUUGUUGUGUGCGCCAUUAUUAAAUUAGUUUAUAGGAGUACCUUUUUAUGUGGUAGACUUGAUCGGAACUCAGGUGGGGGACCCUCGAGUCCAAAAGGCAGGCAGGCAGAAACUGGGUUGGGUGCUUGCAUUUUGCGUUUUCAUCAUUUGUCACGUCUCUUUUCUUUCCAUGUUAUAGGUAAUGUAUUUCCUAUAUCUGUAAAACCUAUAUUGGUUCCCACCAUAGCGUAAAAACCAAGGCUGAGUUUUGGAAUGCAUUGCUGCUACAGGACAUAAAACCAGUCCUCACACCUAUGUGUGAUUUAUCUGUCAUAGUGAAAUUGCCCUGAGAUCUGAUUGGUGAAGCCACAGACACCAUAGGGGUCCCUCCUAAAAUGACUUGUGUUGAUGUAAAGUUAAGACUGUAGUAUUUCUUCGGACUUUGUUCCGAUUUGGCUCGGCCAAAGAAUAGUAUUACGGAUUCAGGCUCUCCAGCUUUCAGCGGUUAGGCCUCCCCAACCUAC
This is a long non-coding RNA of Gasterosteus aculeatus aculeatus (three-spined stickleback), 15267 nucleotides long. The record is from Ensembl. NCBI's taxonomy places the organism in Eukaryota, Metazoa, Chordata, Actinopteri, Perciformes, Gasterosteidae.